GGUUCGAUUCGAGCGCAGCGAGAAAGCGUUGCCGCAGGCAACGACCCGAAGGGCGAAGCGCGCAGCGCUGAGUAAUCCUUCCCCCAUCACCA
RNAcentral lists this small RNA (92 nucleotides) under Salmonella enterica. Its description in RNAcentral is "partial RtT sRNA". It matches the Rfam family "RtT RNA", at positions 40 to 130 of the family's 130-position model. Rfam says of the family: This family represents a bacterial cis-regulatory element known as RtT RNA. The exact function of RtT is unknown although it is thought that it may be involved in changing the cellular response in relation to amino acid starvation. RNAcentral also lists the same sequence under 1 other name. The record is from RNAcentral. Lineage: Bacteria; Pseudomonadati; Pseudomonadota; Gammaproteobacteria; Enterobacterales; Enterobacteriaceae.